GAGUUGCUAGUAAUCGCGAAUCAGCAUGUCGCGGUGAAUGCGUUCCCGGGCCUUGUACACACCGCCCGUCACACCAUGGAAGUUGGGGGCACCCGAAGCCAGUGGCCUAACCGCAAGGAGGGAGCUGUCGAAGGUGAAAUCAAUGACUGGGUGAAGUCGUAACAAGGUAUC
RNAcentral lists this ribosomal RNA (171 nucleotides) under uncultured bacterium. Its description in RNAcentral is "partial 16S ribosomal RNA". It matches the Rfam family "Bacterial small subunit ribosomal RNA", at positions 1329 to 1500 of the family's 1533-position model. The record is from RNAcentral.